RNAcentral lists this unclassified non-coding RNA (357 nucleotides) under Hevea brasiliensis (rubber tree). The record is from RNAcentral. Lineage: Eukaryota; Viridiplantae; Streptophyta; Magnoliopsida; Malpighiales; Euphorbiaceae.
AUCUUGAGAUUGUUGUUUGCCUUAACAGCAUAACCAACGACUGACUGCAGCCCCUCUAGGGCUUCACGAUACGCCUCGAAGUUGCGGGUGAUCUGGGCCUUGCUGUAGAGGUAGAAGGGGCUGCGCUCGGCGACCUCCAUGGCAUCCUCGACGCGGACGGUCUCGCAGUACAGAUAGCCAUCGGAGGCCUUGGAGAAGCAGUGGCGGAACGGGAUGGCCGGCGACGCUACCGCCGUUGCGGCGGGCGUGGUGGCGGCGGCGCGAAGACGGAGGGAGAGGGGUUUGGCGGCGGAGGGGGCCGGGAAGUGGAGUGAGGAUUUUGAGGGGAUGGGGGAGAUAGAGAGAGUUGAGAUCUUG